Molecule: ribosomal RNA, 454 nt
Filed under: uncultured Bacteroides sp.
Lineage: Bacteria; Pseudomonadati; Bacteroidota; Bacteroidia; Bacteroidales; Bacteroidaceae
Description: partial 16S ribosomal RNA
Rfam family: Bacterial small subunit ribosomal RNA
Source: RNAcentral
ACGGGAGGCAGCAGUGAGGAAUAUUGGUCAAUGGGCGGAAGCCUGAACCAGCCAAGUCGCGUGAGGGAAGACGGCCCUACGGGUUGUAAACCUCUUCUGCGCGGGGGUAAAGUCGGGGAUGCGUCCCCGAUUGCAAGUACCGCGCGAAAAAGGAUCGGCUAACUCCGUGCCAGCAGCCGCGGUAAUACGGAGGAUCCGAGCGUUAUCCGGAUUUAUUGGGUUUAAAGGGAGCGUAGGCGGAAGGUCAAGUCAGCUGUGAAAUGUAGUCGCUCAACGUCUGCACUGCAGUUGAAACUGGCCUCCUUGAGUGCGUAAGAGGCAGGUGGAAUUCGUCGUGUAGCGGUGAAAUGCUUAGAUAUGACGAAGAACUCCGAUUGCGAAGGCAGCUUGCUGGGCCGCAACUGACGCUGAAGCUCGAAGGUGCGGGUAUCAAACAGGAUUAGAUACCCUGGUA